Molecule: long non-coding RNA, 368 nt
Organism: Triplophysa rosa
Lineage: Eukaryota; Metazoa; Chordata; Actinopteri; Cypriniformes; Nemacheilidae
Exons: 3
Source: RefSeq, a predicted model, not a curated record
CUGCGCAGACCGAUCACCUUAUGACAAAACGCAUGCGGACUUAGAAUAACAUCUCUAAAGCAUACAGAGCAGUCAGUUCACAAAUAGCUCUCACUGUGCUUUGAUGUCGCCGAUCCGUCUGCGAUCAAAAAUCAGUGGCACGAGUAUUCACCGGUGUUGUUCCGCUCGCGCGACAGACGGGAAUUCAAAAUAACGGAUCGCAACAACCUCUCGACUGUCCCAUUGGAUAAUUUUCAGUAUUUUCCAGUUGAGCAGCAAAAAAAUGGGCAACCAAGGCCAACAGACCCAGCCCACCCUGAUGCUCAUCCUUGCACUGCCUGGGACACCUAAGGCCAACAGGCGCAGCUCCUGUUCUCUUUUUGCCAUAA